GUCCCCACUGGGAUGGAGAUGAAGCUCCCUGCUUUCCUGCACCGUCUCACACCUCCCUCGAGUCCCUCUCCGGACUCUGUGCUCUGGGAAACACAUCUGAAACCACCAGCCAGUUAAAUAAGAGUUAAUUUGUCCAUGACUGAUUCCUUCCAGCUUCUUUGUUCAGAGAAGAUGCUGGC
Molecule: long non-coding RNA, 179 nt
Filed under: Mustela putorius furo (domestic ferret)
Lineage: Eukaryota; Metazoa; Chordata; Mammalia; Carnivora; Mustelidae
Description: lncRNA (ENSMPUG00000028607.1)
Source: RNAcentral